This 501-nucleotide ribosomal RNA is filed under the name uncultured bacterium. RNAcentral's name for it is "bacterial SSU rRNA". It matches the Rfam family "Bacterial small subunit ribosomal RNA", at positions 28 to 523 of the family's 1533-position model. The record is from RNAcentral.
GACGAACGCUGGCGGCGUGGAUUAGGCAUGCAAGUCGAACGGUAUCAUCCUUUCGGGGGUGAGAGAGUGGCGAACUGGUGAGUAACACGUAGGUUAUCUACCCUCAAGACGGGGACAACCCAGGGAAACUUGGGCUAAUACCGGAUGUGAGCAACUUUUAGUUGUUUGAAAGGUGGCGUAAGCUGUCGCUUGGGGAUGAGCCUGCGUCCUAUUAGUUAGUUGGUGAGGUAACGGCUCACCUAGGCAAUGAUAGGUAGGCGGCCUUAACGGGUGGUCGCCCACACUGGGAUUGAGAUACGGCCCAGACUCCUACGGGAGCAGCAGUCGAGAAUAGUCUACAAUGGUCGGAAGACUGAUAGUGCGACGCCGCGUGAACGAUGAAUCCCUUCGGGGUUAAAGUUCUUUUAUAUGUGAGCAGUGCUUCUUAUAUUAACAGUAUGGGGAGAGAGAUAUUAGCAUAUGAAUAAGCAACGGCUAACUCCGUGCCAGCAGCCGCGGUAA